GGGGAAUUUUGCGCAAUGGGGGCAACCCUGACGGAGCAAUACCGCGUGGGGGAGGAAGGCCCUUGGGUUGUAAACCCCUUUUGUCAGGGAAGAAGCUCUGACGGUACCUGACGAAUCAGCCUCGGCUAACUCCGUGNNAGCAGCCGCGGUAAGACGGAGGAGGCAAGCGUUAUCCGGAAUUAUUGGGCGUAAAGCGUCCGUAGGUGGCCCUUCAAGUCUGCUGUUAAAGCCCAGGGCUCAACCCUGGAGAAGCAGUGGAAACUGGCGGGCUAGAGUGCGGUAGGGGUAGAGGGAAUUCCCGGUGUAGUGGUGAAAUGCGUAGAGAUCGGGAAGAACACCAGUGGCGAAAGCGCUCUGCUGGACCGCAACUGACACUGAGGGACGAAAGCUAGGGGAGCGAAUGGGAUUAGAUACCCCAGUAGUC
This 424-nucleotide ribosomal RNA is filed under the name uncultured cyanobacterium. RNAcentral's name for it is "bacterial SSU rRNA". It matches the Rfam family "Bacterial small subunit ribosomal RNA", at positions 356 to 795 of the family's 1533-position model. Lineage: Bacteria; Bacillati; Cyanobacteriota. The record is from RNAcentral.